UGUAGUCAUAUGCUUGUCUCAAAGAUUAAGCCAUGCAUGUCUAAGUAUAAACAACUUUAUACUGUGAAACUGCGAAUGGCUCAUUAAAUCAGUUAUAGUUUAUUUGAUAGUACCUUACUACUUGGAUAACCGUAGUAAUUCUAGAGCUAAUACAUGCGCAAAGACCCGACUUUCUGGAAGGGUUGCAUUUAUUAGAUACAAAACCAAUGGCCAGCAAUGGUCUCACUUGGUGAUUCAUAAUAACUUUUGCGGAUCGCAUGGCUUUACGCUGGCGACGAAUCAUUCAAAUUUCUGCCCUAUCAACUUUCGAUGGUACGGUAUUGGCCUACCAUGGUUACAACGGGUAACGGGGA
RNAcentral lists this ribosomal RNA (353 nucleotides) under uncultured fungus. RNAcentral describes it as "SSU rRNA". It matches the Rfam family "Eukaryotic small subunit ribosomal RNA", at positions 21 to 368 of the family's 1831-position model. Lineage: Eukaryota; Fungi. The record is from RNAcentral.